GUUUUCCUUCUCAUCCCAGUGUAAGACUGCUUCACUCGGAGAGUGGGUAUGCUCUCAAGGUGAGAUCAGAUGCUGAGCUAGAAAAAAAGUGUUUGGGGACUGCUCAGAAAAGGAAUCAGAAAAAGCAGUAGAAGACAUGCCCUUUCCCAGUGAGGGAAAUGCCGCAGGAUUUCUCUUUUUAUCUAAACCCCUGAACGGAUUUGCCACUAAAAGAAAGAUAAUCCACAUUAUGUAGAAACAAAAUUACAUUCACAUGAACACACGCAUACAGACGCACACUGUUCUGUUCCAGCUGCAGGACACGGGCUCUGGGAGCAGUGGCCUCGAAGACCCCAGCAAGCAAGCCUGCAGAUGAAGCUAGGACCAAGCCUGCCUCUAUGUACCACUGGAGCAUUCUGGAGACAGUGAGACGCGAGCAAUCAGUGAAAGAGAGAGACACCACAACUUGACAAACUGUUACUGGGAGAACGUCAAAUGUGUAAGUCUAGCUGCAAGGAGGCUGCAGGCUGCUGAGGAUGGGACACGUGCAGCCUGCUAUUGCUGGCAGAGAAGGGCCAUGGUUAUGAAGAGAGGCUGAUCUGUGCCUUCACUACAGCACUGAGCUGCUCCAAACUGAAGCAGCCUUCAUACCUUUCAGUGUGCCUGCUGACUGCUCUGAACUAUCAGGGCUGGCCCCUUCUGCUUCAGUAGUGUUCUUGACUGUUUUGUUUCCAAGGCUUAGCAAUCGCCACAUAAGAGCACUUCUAAGGAGGUUUUAAAAUGCCUUUAGUGCAUCAAGGGACAGCAGCAGGAGGACGAUAUGAACCAUUUUGGUCUGAGACAUUUGGACUUAGAUGCAUCCAGGCAUUAAGUCAGUGAAAGCCGGGCAGGAUCAGGCCGAAACUGGCAUUAUGCGCUGUUGGAAGCAAAUCCAAUUCACAUAGUUUUAAGCACAUGUAAACCAUUUUCUAUGGGGACUUGGAGUGCUUUACGAGAGUGCUCAAGGGACCAGGUGACUUUUAGCAUGGUGAAUUUCUGUAG
Molecule: long non-coding RNA, 1020 nt
Filed under: Apteryx owenii (little spotted kiwi)
Lineage: Eukaryota; Metazoa; Chordata; Aves; Apterygiformes; Apterygidae
Description: lncRNA (ENSAOWG00000010217.1)
Source: RNAcentral